This 324-nucleotide ribosomal RNA is filed under the name uncultured eukaryote. Its description in RNAcentral is "partial 18S ribosomal RNA". It matches the Rfam family "Eukaryotic small subunit ribosomal RNA", at positions 1470 to 1796 of the family's 1831-position model. The record is from RNAcentral.
CCCUUAGAUGUUCUGGGCUGCACGCGCGCUACACUGAAGCUAUCAACACGUUUUCCCUCCCUGAGAAGGGCGGGUAACCUUUUGAAUCAGCUUCGUGGUAGGGAUCGGAGCUUGCAAUUGUUCCCCGUGAACCAGGAAUUCCUAGUAGACGCGAGUCAUAAGCUCGCAUCGAUUAAGUCCCUGCCCUUUGUACACACCGCCCGUCGCUACUACCGAUUGAACGUUUUAGUGAGGCAUUUGGACCGACGCAUCUCAGUUUAACCGCUGGUUUGUGUUGGAAAGACUUCCAAACUUGAGCGUUUAGAGGAAGUAAAAGUCGUAACA